RNAcentral lists this transfer RNA (69 nucleotides) under Wallacidia oculata. RNAcentral describes it as "tRNA-Val". Lineage: Eukaryota; Metazoa; Arthropoda; Insecta; Hymenoptera; Mutillidae. The record is from RNAcentral.
UAUCUUUUAUUUUAAAAUUUUAAAAUUAUUUAUUUACAAUAAAUAGAUUAGCUUUAUGCUAAAAGGUAA